AGUAAAAUGGCUGAAAUUGAUAGGCGAUAAAUUGUAAAUUUAUACAUAAAUAGAAAUAUUUUUUUACUA
RNAcentral lists this transfer RNA (69 nucleotides) under Paduniella fasciaria. RNAcentral's name for it is "tRNA-Tyr". Lineage: Eukaryota; Metazoa; Arthropoda; Insecta; Trichoptera; Psychomyiidae. The record is from RNAcentral.